GCCAAGGUAGCACAGUGGUAGUGCAGCUGAUUCGUAAUCAGCAGGUCGUGGGUUCAAAUCCCAUCCUUGGCU
This is a transfer RNA of 72 nucleotides. It matches the Rfam family "tRNA". From Rfam's summary of the family: Transfer RNA (tRNA) molecules are approximately 80 nucleotides in length. Their secondary structure includes four short double-helical elements and three loops (D, anti-codon, and T loops). The record is from Rfam.